Long non-coding RNA from Pelmatolapia mariae (spotted tilapia), 354 nucleotides. RefSeq lists it as uncharacterized. The record is from RefSeq and is a predicted model, not a curated record. Lineage: Eukaryota; Metazoa; Chordata; Actinopteri; Cichliformes; Cichlidae. The transcript has 3 exons.
GAUUGUUGUUUUGUGUGUCUGCAGUCUGUCAGGCUGUCUGAUCACAGAGGAAGGCUGUACUUCUCUGGCCUCAGCUCUGAGCUCCAACCCCUCCCAUCUGAGAGAGCUGGACCUGAGCUACAAUCAUCCAGGAGACUCAGGAAUGAAGCUGCUGUUGGCUGGACUGAUGGAUCCAGGCUGGAGACUGGACACUCUCAGGGUGGAGCCUGCUGGAGUCCGAUGGUUGAGACCAGGUCUGAGGAAGUAUUCCUGUCAACUCACAAUCGACACAAACACAGUGAACACAAAGCUCCAACUGUCUGACAACAACAGGAAGGUGACACAUGUGGAGGAGGUUCAGUCAUAUCCUGAUCA